This 513-nucleotide ribosomal RNA is filed under the name Triticum aestivum (bread wheat). RNAcentral describes it as "partial small subunit ribosomal RNA". Lineage: Eukaryota; Viridiplantae; Streptophyta; Magnoliopsida; Poales; Poaceae. The record is from RNAcentral.
AUGCAUGAGUUAACUAAGGAAAACAUUGAGCGUAUGAAUGCUAAAUAUAAACUUGCUGGAGAUAAGGGUAGAAAACAUGUUGUGUUUGCACCUGGAGAUCUUGUUUGGUUACAUUUGCGUAAGGAUAGAUUUCCUGAUUUGCGCAAAUCAAAGUUAAUGCCACGUGCUGAUGGUCCCUUUAAGGUGUUAGAGAAAAUAAAUGAUAAUGCAUAUAAACUUGAGAUGCCUGCAGAUUUUGGGGUUAGUCCCACUUUUAACAUUGCAGAUUUGAAGCCUUAUUUGGGUGAGGAAGAUGAACUUCCGUCAAGGACGACUUCAUUUCAAGAAGGGGAGGAUGAUGAGGACAUCAAUACAAUUGUUACACCCACAGCCCCUGCUGCUAUACAUACUGGACCAAUUACUAGAGCUCGUGCACGCCAACUAAAUUACCAGUUUCUUGCUUGUUCUUCGUUUGCUCGCAGGAAACAGACCCUCGUGGUCAGGUUGAUCGUGCUCCGGCUAGAUGGGAAUUGA